Molecule: ribosomal RNA, 458 nt
Filed under: uncultured bacterium
Lineage: Bacteria
Description: bacterial SSU rRNA
Rfam family: Bacterial small subunit ribosomal RNA
Source: RNAcentral
AGAGUUUGAUCAUGGCUCAGAUUGAACGCUGGCGGCAGGCUUAACACAUGCAAGUCGAACGGUAACAGAACUAGCUUGCUAGUUGCUGACGAGUGGCGGACGGGUGAGUAACGCGUAGGAAUCUACCGAAUAGUGGGGGACAACAGUUGGAAACGGCUGCUAUACCGCAUACGCCCUACGGGGGAAAGGAGGGGAUCUUCGGACCUUUCGCUAUUUGAUGAGCCUGCGUGAGAUUAGUUAGUUGGUGGGGUAAUGGCUCACCAAGGCGACGAUCUCUAGCUGGUCUGAGAGGAUGAUCAGCCACACUGGGACUGAGACACGGCCCAGACUCCUACGGGAGNCAGCAGUGGGGAAUAUUGCACAAUGGGGGAAACCCUGAUGCAGCCAUGCCGCGUGUGUGAAGAAGGCCUUCGGGUUGUAAAGCACUUUCAGUUGUGAGGAAAGGUUAAGGGUUAAUA